UCGACGGUAACAUAGCUAGCUUGCUAGCUGAUGACGAGUGGCGGACGGGUGAGUAACGCGUAGGAAUCUACCUAUUAGUGGGGGACAACCUGGUGAAAACCAGGCUAAUACCGCAUACGCCCUACGGGGGAAAGCAGGGGAUCUUCGGACCUUGCGCUAUUAGAUGAGCCUGCGUUAGAUUAGCUUGUUGGUGAGGUAAUGGCUCACCAAGGCGACGAUCUAUAGCUGGUCUGAGAGGAUGAUCAGCCACACUGGGACUGAGACACGGCCCAGACUCCUACGGGAGGCAGCAGUGGGGAAUAUUGCGCAAUGGGCGAAAGCCUGACGCAGCCAUACCGCGUGUGUGAAGAAGGGUUUAGGCUCGUAAAGCACUUUAAGUAGGGAGGAAGGCCUGUAAAUUAAUACUUUGCAGGAUUGACGUUACCUACAGAAUAAGCACCGGCUAACUCCGUGCCAGCAGCCGCGGUAAUACGGAGGGUGCAAGCGUUAAUCGGAAUUACUGGGCGUAAAGCGCGCGUAGGCGGUUUGUUAAGCGAGAUGUGAAAGCCCAGGGCUCAACCUUGGAACUGCAUUUCGAACUGGCAGGCUAGAGUACAAGAGAGGGUGGUAGAAUUUCCUGUGUAGCGGUGAAAUGCGUAGAUAUAGGAAGGAAUACCAGUGGCGAAGGCGGCCACCUGGCUUGAUACUGACGCUGAGGUGCGAAAGCGUGGGGAGCGAACAGGAUUAGAUACCCUGGUAGUCCACGCCGUAAACGAUGUCAACUAGCCGUUGGAGUCCUUGAGGCUUUAGUGGCGC
Molecule: ribosomal RNA, 795 nt
Filed under: uncultured Gammaproteobacteria bacterium
Lineage: Bacteria; Pseudomonadati; Pseudomonadota; Gammaproteobacteria
Description: bacterial SSU rRNA
Rfam family: Bacterial small subunit ribosomal RNA
Source: RNAcentral